Molecule: ribosomal RNA, 401 nt
Filed under: uncultured bacterium
Lineage: Bacteria
Description: partial 16S ribosomal RNA
Rfam family: Archaeal small subunit ribosomal RNA
Source: RNAcentral
ACACCGGCCGCUCUAGUGGUAGCAGUUUUUAUUGGGCCUAAAGCGUCCGUAGCCGGUUUAAUAAGUCUCUGGUGAAAUCCUGUAGCUUAACUGUGGGAAUUGCUGGAGAUACUAUUAGACUUGAGACCGGGAGAGGUUAGAGGUACUCCCAGGGUAGCGGGGAAAUUCUGUAAUCCUGGGAGGACCGCCUGUUGCGAAGGCGUCUAACUGGAACGGUUCUGACGGUGAGGGACGAAAGUUAGGGGCGCGAACCGGAUUAGAUACCCGGGUAGUCCUAACUGUAAACGAUGCGGACUUGGUGUUGGGGUGGCUUUGAGCUGUCCCAGUGCCGAAGGGAAGCUGUUAAGUCCGCCGCCUGGGAAGUACGGUCGCAAGACUGAAACUCAAAGGAAUUGACGGGG